This 450-nucleotide ribosomal RNA is filed under the name Gallionellaceae bacterium. RNAcentral describes it as "bacterial LSU rRNA". It matches the Rfam family "Bacterial large subunit ribosomal RNA", at positions 2491 to 2925 of the family's 2925-position model. Lineage: Bacteria; Pseudomonadati; Pseudomonadota; Betaproteobacteria; Nitrosomonadales; Gallionellaceae. The record is from RNAcentral.
CCCAAGAGUUCAUAUCGACGGGGGAGUUUGGCACCUCGAUGUCGGCUCAUCACAUCCUGGGGCUGUAGCUGGUCCCAAGGGUAUGGCUGUUCGCCAUUUAAAGUGGUACGUGAGCUGGGUUUAAAACGUCGUGAGACAGUUUGGUCCCUAUCUGCCGUGGGCGCUGGAAGUUUGAGGGGACCUGCUCCUAGUACGAGAGGACCGGAGUGGACGUAUCUCUGGUGUACCGGUUAUGACGCCAGUCGUAUCGCCGGGUAGCUAUAUACGGAAGAGAUAACCGCUGAAAGCAUCUAAGCGGGAAACUCGCCUCAAGAUGAGACUUCCCUGGUAACUUGAUUACCCUGAAGGGUCGUGGAAGACUACCACGUUGAUAGGUCAGGUGUGGAAGCCCAGUAAUGGGUUAAGCUAACUGAUACUAAUUGCCCGUGCGGCUUGAUCCUAUAACAUUAG